GAUGAACGCUGGCGGCGUGCCUAAUACAUGCCAGUCGAGCGAACAGACGAGGAGCUUGCUCCCCUAACGUUAGCGGCGGACGGGUGAGUAACACGUGGAUCACCUACCUAUAUGACUGGGAUAACUUCGGGAAACAGGAGAUACUACCGCAUAAUAUAUUGAACCGCAUGGAUCAAUAGUGAAAGACGCUUUUCGUGUUACUUAUAGCUGAAUCCGCGUCGCAUUAGCUAGUUGGUAAGGUAACGGCCUACCAAGGCUACGAUGCGUAGCUGACCUGAGAGGAUGAUCGGCCACACUGGAACUGAGACACGGUCCAGACUCCUACGGGAGGCAGCAGUAGGGAAUCUUCCGCAAUGGGCGAAAGCCUGACGGAGCAACGCCGCGUGAGUGAUGAAGGUCUUCGGAUCGUAAAACUCUGUUAUUAGGGAAGAACAAAUGUGGAAGUAACUAUGCACGUCUUGACGGUACCUAAUCAGAAAGCCACGGCUAACUACGUG
This 497-nucleotide ribosomal RNA is filed under the name uncultured bacterium. RNAcentral's name for it is "partial 16S ribosomal RNA". It matches the Rfam family "Bacterial small subunit ribosomal RNA", at positions 28 to 507 of the family's 1533-position model. The record is from RNAcentral.